AACAACAAGCAAAAAUAAAUUAACUAAACCAUCAAUCAAACCACUUUUAGAUAUAAACCAAAUAACCAUUAAACCAAUAAUUCUACAAGUAAUACAAAUACCAUCAUUCUUAACAUGCUUCUAAUCCAACUUCCAAAAGAAAAAAAAACAUUAAAAAAACACCAAUUCGAUCAUAGAUCAACCUCCUCUUCAUGCCACAAUUCCACGAUUACGCUUUCUUUGCCUGCACUACAACAUAAAGAUAUGCGUGAGUAUUAUCACAAAUAGUAAGUAAGAUGACCCCCAUAUACUACCUAUACACACAAGCGAAUUACACAAACCAACACUCAAUCAAACAACAAAAACAUCAGACCAUACAUAACAAGAACAAAACAACUCCUAAUCCAGCCUAGUGUCGACCUCCACAUCAACACAUCUGAUGUCGACCGAUACCCUCUUGGUGUCUAUCUACACUGCCUCUUAAGAUACAGUAGAAUCGCCUCUUAUCAAUCCUGAAGAAUCCUUGCACCAUACACGACCAUGAACAAACCCUAACCACCAAAUCAUCACGUGAUCUUUUCUUGGGGGUUUUCCUCAUUCGCACAGUUCCAUCAAUCAAUUCCUAGAAGUCACCCAUCCUAAUCCUACUCUAUCUCAAGAACACUUAGCUGUCAAGUUCUUUUAGGAUCUUUGGCCAAAAAAAUAAGUGUACUUUCAUGACAUAGUUAGAAAAAUCAAAUCUUUUAAACCUCUCCGCAUGUUUGCUGAAGCCAGGGAGGCUUACACUUUAGAGGAGUCUAGGAGCUUUGUUUCAGGAUAUGAAGGGGAUCAUUACAUAGUAAAUACAUCAAUGUCAAGUCUUGACAUGAAAGGAGUCCUAUGUCGAAGAAAGUUACNNNNNNNNNNNNNNNNNNNNNNNNNNNNNNNNNNNNNNNNNNNNNNNNNNNNNNNNNNNNNNNNNNNNNNNNNNNNNNNNNNNNNNNNNNNNNNNNNNNNCCUAGUCCUUUUACAUAAAAUUUUGAAUUAAUUUAUUUUGAUAUGAAUGUUAAGUUUAUCAUAUAUUGUUCAACGUUCAAACAAUUUCUUUUUCUUUUUUUGGUAUGAGUGUUAUGUUUUUUAUAUCUUGUGUUAAAUCUUGACUUCCAAAAUUUCAAAAUUGCAAAAAAUUAAUAUAAGAAUUAAUGAAUACCAAAAAUCUAAGAAUUGACUAUUUUAAUGCGAUCUAAUUAGCACUACCCUUAUUUUGUGUAUAUAAAUAAACAAAUCUUUCACUCACAAAAACAUAUUCUUAAGUUAAAAGAAAAAGAAAAAACAUAUAUUAGUACUAUUCCAAAAUUUCUCUUCACUUUAUUUUUUGAGUCAAAAACUCAUAAUUUGUUUUCCUAAAAAAUGAACACCAAGAAAACAAAAGGAAAGCAAAAGAUUAAUAUAAAGAAAAUAGAAAUAAGCAAAGACAUAUUGGUCACAUUGUCUAAUCGUAGAAAUGGUAUCUACACUAAGUUAUGUGAACUCUCUUUUCUCUGCGGCGUUCACAUUGCAUUUUUGGGGUAUACCGACUACGGAAAGCCAUUUACAUUUGGCAGUCCAUCCUUACAGGCAGUUGCGGAACGGUUUCUCAACAGCGAGGCCUCGUCGUCUUCUUCUUUGCAACAAUCACUCUUUACUGUUCAUCACAAACAGAAUGUUCAAGAGCUAUGCACAUUGUACAACAAUGUUGUUGAGCAGACACGUGCUAAGGAAGUGAAAGCAAUGAAGGCAGCUGCGUCUAUGGAGCCGUUUCCAGAAGAUGCGUGGUGGAAAAUGCAUAUGACUAAGGAACAAGAUCAAGAAGAAGCAAAAAAGUUGUUGGACAAGUUUGAAGGGCUCUAUGAGAAGUUGUGUGAUGAAAUUGAUGUAAGAAGUCAAAGAAGAGAUGCCGCGAGAAAUGACAUAUGAUUUAUACGUCCUUAAUAUAUCAUUUGUUGUGUUGUUGUGAUGAUGUGUUGUUGUAUUGUCUUUUCUUUUUAUUUUAUGCAUUGUUAAUGUUUUCUAAAUCAUCCAAUCCAAUAAAACAAAAAUAAUAUUUCAUUUUAAAUGUUAUUUGAGAAACAUACUGAAAAACAUAAAUAAAUCAAACUUAGAAUAAAAUAAGGGUUUCCUAUCUCAAAAAAGUUCAUGCUUUUGCAAAUGUAAUUUUGUUGUCUACUAAUCAUUUACCUUUUCUUGUAUAUGAUACAUAUAUCAAAAUCUAGUUAUCAUGAAUUUUAGAAUUUAGGAGGCUCAGUGUCUAUCAAAAUAUUUUUUUAUGGACCAAAUUAAACAACAUAUAUUUUGACAUUUUCAUCUUAUUGCUUGUGUAUCAGUAGCUCAAAACAUAAUUAUACAUUGUCCGCUAUAUUUCGCACUUGUAAUUUUGUUGUCCAUGUCCUAAAUCUCUAACAAAAGUUAAAACGACAGCCUAUUCUAUUUUUUAAUUCGUUAACUAAUAAUCUCAUAUUUAUUAACUAGCUAUUAUCAAGUAUACUAACAGCAACAACCAAAAAUAAAUUAACUAAACCAUCAAUCAAACCACUUUUAGAUAUAAACCAAAUAACCAUUAAACCAAUAAUUUUACAAGCAAUACAAAUACCAUCAUUUUUAACAUGCUUCUAAUCCAACUUCCAAAAGAAAAAAAAACAUUAAAAACACCAAUUCGAUCAUAGAUCAACCUCAUCUUCAUGCCACGAUUCCACGAUUACGCUUUUUUCGCCUGCACUAUAACAUAAAG
This 2725-nucleotide long non-coding RNA is filed under the name Capsella rubella. RNAcentral describes it as "long non-coding RNA (CRUB_LNC004151)". The record is from RNAcentral. Lineage: Eukaryota; Viridiplantae; Streptophyta; Magnoliopsida; Brassicales; Brassicaceae.